UACGUAGGGGGCAAGCGUUAUCCGGAUUUACUGGGUGUAAAGGGUGCGUAGGUGGUAUGGUAAGUUGGAUGUGAAAGCCCAAGGCUCAACCUUGGGAUUGCAUCUAAAACUGCCAAACUAGAGUGCAGGAGAGGAAAGUGGAAUUCCUAGUGUAGCGGUGAAAUGCGUAGAUAUUAGGAGGAACAUCAGUAGCGAAGGCGGCUUUCUGGACUGUAACUGACGCUGAGGCACGAAAGCGUGGGUAGCAAACAGG
RNAcentral lists this ribosomal RNA (253 nucleotides) under uncultured bacterium. RNAcentral's name for it is "partial 16S ribosomal RNA". It matches the Rfam family "Bacterial small subunit ribosomal RNA", at positions 524 to 776 of the family's 1533-position model. The record is from RNAcentral.